GUGCCUAUACAUGCAAGUCGAGCGGACAGAAGGGAGCUUGCUCCCGGAUGUUAGCGGCGGACGGGUGAGUAACACGUGGGUAACCUGCCUGUAAGACUGGGAUAACUCCGGGAAACCGGAGCUAAUACCGGAUAGUUCCUUGAACCGCAUGGUUCAAGGAUGAAAGACGGUUUCGGCUGUCACUUACAGAUGGACCCGCGGCGCAUUAGCUAGUUGGUGAGGUAACGGCUCACCAAGGCGACGAUGCGUAGCCGACCUGAGAGGGUGAUCGGCCACACUGGGACUGAGACACGGCCCAGACUCCUACGGGAGGCAGCAGUAGGGAAUCUUCCGCAAUGGACGAAAGUCUGACGGAGCAACGCCGCGUGAGUGAUGAAGGUUUUCGGAUCGUAAAGCUCUGUUGUUAGGGAAGAACAAGUGCAAGAGUAACUGCUUGCACCUUGACGGUACCUAACCAGAAAGCCACGGCUAACUACGUGCCAGCAGCCGCGGUAAUACGUAGGUGGCAAGCGUUGUCCGGAAUUAUUGGGCGUAAAGGGCUCGCAGGCGGUUUCUUAAGUCUGAUGUGAAAGCCCCCGGCUCAACCGGGGAGGGUCAUUGGAAACUGGGAAACUUGAGUGCAUAAGAGGGGAGUGGAAUUCCCCGCGUAUUGGCAAAAUUCGUUUACAGCUGGGGACAACAC
RNAcentral lists this ribosomal RNA (682 nucleotides) under Bacillus stratosphericus. RNAcentral describes it as "bacterial SSU rRNA". It matches the Rfam family "Bacterial small subunit ribosomal RNA", at positions 44 to 709 of the family's 1533-position model. Lineage: Bacteria; Bacillati; Bacillota; Bacilli; Caryophanales; Bacillaceae. The record is from RNAcentral.